RNAcentral lists this transfer RNA (76 nucleotides) under Bacillus cereus. RNAcentral's name for it is "tRNA-Thr". It matches the Rfam family "tRNA". Rfam says of the family: Transfer RNA (tRNA) molecules are approximately 80 nucleotides in length. The record is from RNAcentral. Lineage: Bacteria; Bacillati; Bacillota; Bacilli; Caryophanales; Bacillaceae. RNAcentral also lists the same sequence under 1 other name.
GCCGGUGUAGCUCAAUUGGUAGAGCAACUGACUUGUAAUCAGUAGGUUGGGGGUUCAAGUCCUCUCGGGCGCGCCA